AUGGAUUCAGGUUGCAUGUUUUGUGCAGGCUCUUAUCACGCGAUGGCAUCCACUGUGGAAGGAGGCGACACAGCUCUGCUCCCAGAAUUCCCCAGGGGGCCCCUCGAUGCCUACCGAGCAAGAGCGUCCUUCAGCUGGAAGGAGCUGGCGCUGUUCACGGAAGGGGAGGACAUGCUCCGCUUUAAGAAAACCAUCUUCUCAGCUCUUGAGAACGACCCUCUUUUCGCUCGUUCCCCUGGAGCUGAUCUGUCCUUGGAGAAGUAUCGCGAGCUGAACUUCCUUCGAUGCAAGCGGAUCUUCGAGUAUGACUUCCUCAGUGUCGAAGACAUGUUCAAGAGCCCUCUGAAGGUCCCCGCCUUGAUUCAGUGCCUGGGGAUGUAUGACUCUUCUCUGGCUGCCAAGUACCUCCUCCAUAGCUUGGUUUUUGGAUCAGCAGUUUACAGUUCUGGUUCUGAAAGACAUCUCACAUAUAUUCAAAAGAUCUUCAGGAUGGAGAUUUUUGGAUGUUUUGCUCUGACCGAAUUAAGCCACGGCAGUAAUACCAAGGCCAUUCGCACGACUGCCCACUACGAUCCUGCCACUGAGGUAGGUAUUACCUUCCCCCGGAUCCCUGGGUUUGGAGCAUAUGAGACGUCAUGAGUGCAAAUGCCGUUGCCAAGAAUAAGAAAAAAAAACAUUAAAGCAAGAGGCCUGUCCACAUACACAUGUGUAGAAAUACCCACUGAGAUUCAUCACACUGAAAAGUGGGGCCCAGGAGAUCAGGCAUUGGAGGACAAAGCCUGUGCCCACCAUGAACUUUAUGGGGAAUUGAUCGUGGUUUGGAUUUGUGUGUAAUUUGAGUGCAGUGAAGAAGCCCUCAUUCUGUAAAAUUUAUUGCCUUGUUUACCUGGCUGCCUACGCGUAGUGGAUUCAUAAACCGUUCGCAUGGCCCUUGGUUUCUACGAUGGGCCCCAUGGAGACAACAUGCUCCCUGCCCUCUGCCCUUUGUGGCUGUCCCUCUGCGAAGAGCCUGCCUUGUCCAUUUCCAC
Molecule: long non-coding RNA, 1028 nt
Filed under: Pan troglodytes (chimpanzee)
Lineage: Eukaryota; Metazoa; Chordata; Mammalia; Primates; Hominidae
Description: lncRNA (ENSPTRG00000054270.1)
Source: RNAcentral